UACGAAGGGUGCAAGCGUUACUCGGAAUUACUGGGCGUAAAGCGCACGUAGGCGGCUUUGUAAGUUAGAGGUGAAAGCCCGGGGCUCAACUCCGGAAUUGCCUUUAAGACUGCAUCGCUUGAAUCCGGGAGAGGUGAGUGGAAUUCCGAGUGUAGGGGUGAAAUUCGUAGAUAUUCGGAAGAACACCAGUGGCGAAGGCGGCUCACUGGACCGGCAUUGACGCUGAGGUGCGAAAGCGUGGGGAGCAAACAGG
Molecule: ribosomal RNA, 253 nt
Filed under: uncultured bacterium
Lineage: Bacteria
Description: partial 16S ribosomal RNA
Rfam family: Bacterial small subunit ribosomal RNA
Source: RNAcentral